This is a microRNA precursor of Ananas comosus (pineapple), 119 nucleotides long. The record is from Rfam. NCBI's taxonomy places the organism in Eukaryota, Viridiplantae, Streptophyta, Magnoliopsida, Poales, Bromeliaceae.
AAGGUAUGGUGCAGCCAAGGAUGACUUGCCGACGCUUCAAUUACUAGAGUUUUCAUUCGAAAAUUCUAGUGAAAUCUAAAAAUAUCGGCAAGUCCGUCCUUGACUACAUCUUGCUUUCU